AUUAUGCUGUGAUCUCGUGCUGAUCGAGAGCAAGAGAUAAUGGCAUAGCUGGGAACUAGAGUCCACCUUGUCGAGUCUGAAUCCAGUUCUGUCUCUGGCUAUCUGUGUGACUUUGGGCAAGUCACAACUUCUCUGAGCAUCAUCUAUCUGAUCUGUAGCAAUGCCUUAUGGUGUUAUCUUGAUGAUCUGAUGAGAGGAUGUGUAUGUACAAAACAGGUGAUAGUUUCUUUCUUUCUUUUUUUUUUAAUCUUUUCCCUGAUUGGCAGGAUGUAUGCCUUUGAUUAACAGAUACCGAGAAAACAAAUUUCUUGCUAUGCUCUGAGAUUCAACACGUAAGCAGAAUUGAGAACACCAAAUUCUGUUUGAGGGGCAGAGGUCUAAGAAGGCUUCAUAGAGGAGGUGAUGAUGGAGCCAGGCCGUAUCAGGUAAGUAGGAGUUCCUGAGAUAGACAAGGGUGUGUGAGGCGAAGGGAGCACCAUAGGCAUGCAGGUGUGAUGGAGGUUGGUGUGCCCCAGACCAGCGAGCAGCUUGGGCUGGUGGGGCUUUUGCUGGAUAAGAAUCAGCACUGUGAGGUUGAGAUAGAAGGAAGCCUUGCACCCUCCUCCUGAAGAGGGUGGGAGCCAUGGAAGGGACUGAGCAGAGCAGUGAAAUGACUACAUCUGUGUUUUCUAAAGAAUACAUUGCCAUUUGUCAUCUUUAAAGUUGAUCCCUCACUGGUCCCCUCUGAUCCAAUCACAGGUGAAUUUUCGAAAAACCAAGUCUGGCCGAGUGUGGUGGCUCAUGCCUGUAAUCCCAGCAGCUCAGGAGGCUGAGGCAGGAAGAUCGAGAGUUCAAAGCCAGCCUCAGCAAAACCCGAGGCACUAAACAACUCAGUGAGACCCUAUCUCUAAAUAAAAUACAAAAAAUAGGGCUGGAAUUUGGUUCAGUAGUCAAGUGCCCCUGAGUUCAAUCCCUGGUACAAAAAAAAAAAAAAAAAAAACCUGACCAUUUUAUCCCCCCGUUUAAAAUCAUUUAUUGAACAAAUUAUUUUUAUUGAACAAAUUGUUUUAUUUAAUAAAUGAUGGAUUAAAGAAUAAAUGGAUGGAG
RNAcentral lists this long non-coding RNA (1086 nucleotides) under Marmota monax (woodchuck). Lineage: Eukaryota; Metazoa; Chordata; Mammalia; Rodentia; Sciuridae. The record is from RNAcentral.